GAUGAACGCUGGCGGCGUGCCUAAUACAUGCAAGUCGAGCGAACGGACGAGAAGCUUGCUUUUCUGAUGUUAGCAGCGGACGGGUGAGUAACACGUGGAUAACCUACCUAUAAGACUGGGAUAACUUCGGGAAACCGGAGCUAAUACCGGAUAAUAUUUUGAACCGCAUGGUUCAAAAGUGAAAGACGGUCUUGCUGUCACUUAUAGAUGGAUCCGCGCUGCAUUAGCUAGUUGGUAAGGUAACGGCUUACCAAGGCAACGAUGCAUAGCCGACCUGAGAGGGUGAUCGGCCACACUGGAACUGAGACACGGUCCAGACUCCUACGGGAGGCAGCAGUAGGGAAUCUUCCGCAAUGGGCGAAAGCCUGACGGAGCAACGCCGCGUGAGUGAUGAAGGUCUUCGGAUCGUAAAACUCUGUUAUUAGGGAAGAACAUAUGUGUAGGUAACUGUGCACAUCUUGACGGUACCUAAUCAGAAAGCCACGGCUAACUACGUG
This 497-nucleotide ribosomal RNA is filed under the name uncultured bacterium. RNAcentral's name for it is "partial 16S ribosomal RNA". It matches the Rfam family "Bacterial small subunit ribosomal RNA", at positions 28 to 507 of the family's 1533-position model. The record is from RNAcentral.